RNAcentral lists this ribosomal RNA (254 nucleotides) under uncultured bacterium. RNAcentral's name for it is "partial 16S ribosomal RNA". It matches the Rfam family "Bacterial small subunit ribosomal RNA", at positions 524 to 776 of the family's 1533-position model. The record is from RNAcentral.
CACGUAGGGGGCAAGCGUUGUCCGGAUUUAUUGGGCGUAAAGAGCUCGUAGGCGGCUUAGUAAGUCGGGUGUGAAACCUCCAGGCUCAACCUGGAGACGCCACCCGAUACUGCUGUGGCUAGAGUCCGGUAGGGGAGCGUGGAAUUCCUGGUGUAGCGGUGAAAUGCGCAGAUAUCGGGAGGAACACCGGUGGCGAAGGCGGUUCUCUGGGCCUUACCUGACGCUGAGGAGCGAAAGCGUGGGGAGCGAACAGG